Molecule: microRNA precursor, 95 nt
Filed under: Canis lupus familiaris (dog)
Lineage: Eukaryota; Metazoa; Chordata; Mammalia; Carnivora; Canidae
Description: mir-8834 microRNA precursor family
Rfam family: mir-8834 microRNA precursor family
Source: Rfam by way of RNAcentral
AGGAGGAACAGCCCCAGUGGUGGGGCCAGGUCUGGAAACCUGGAUUCAGCUCCGGCAGGAACUCCGUCUGCAGGGCCUGGAGGCUCCGGGGCGGG